RNAcentral lists this ribosomal RNA (904 nucleotides) under Penicillium cinnamopurpureum. RNAcentral describes it as "LSU rRNA". It matches the Rfam family "Eukaryotic large subunit ribosomal RNA", at positions 38 to 959 of the family's 3401-position model. The record is from RNAcentral. Lineage: Eukaryota; Fungi; Ascomycota; Eurotiomycetes; Eurotiales; Aspergillaceae.
CAAUAUCAAUAAGCGGAGGAAAAGAAACCAACAGGGAUUGCCCCAGUAACGGCGAAGUGAAGCGGCAAGAGCUCAAAUUUGAAAGCUGGCCCCCUCGGGGUCCGCAUUGUAAUUUGCAGAGGAUGCUUCGGGAGCGGUCCCCAUCUAAGUACCCUGGAACGGGUCGUCAUAGAGGGUGAGAAUCCCGUAUGGGAUGGGGUGUCCGCGCCCGUGUGAAGCUCCUUCGACGAGUCGAGUUGUUUGGGAAUGCAGCUCUAAAUGGGUGGUAAAUUUCAUCUAAAGCUAAAUAUUGGCCGGAGACCGAUAGCGCACAAGUAGAGUGAUCGAAAGAUGAAAAGCACUUUGAAAAGAGAGUUAAAAAGCACGUGAAAUUGUUGAAAGGGAAGCGCUUGCGACCAGACUCGCCCACGGGGUUCAGCCGGCAUUCGUGCCGGUGUACUUCCCCGCGGGCGGGCCAGCGUCGGUUUGGGCGGCCGGUCAAAGGCCCUCGGAAUGUAACGCCCCUCGGGGCGUCUUAUAGCCGAGGGUGCCAUGCGGCCUGCCCGGACCGAGGAACGCGCUUCGGCUCGGACGCUGGCAUAAUGGUCGUAAGCGACCCGUCUUGAAACACGGACCAAGGAGUCUAACAUCUACGCGAGUGUUCGGGUGUCAAACCCGUGCGCGCAGUGAAAGCGAACGGAGGUGGGAACCCUCACGGGUGCACCAUCGACCGAUCCUGAUGUCUUCGGAUGGAUUUGAGUAAGAGCGUAGCUGUUGGGACCCGAAAGAUGGUGAACUAUGCCUGAAUAGGGCGAAGCCAGAGGAAACUCUGGUGGAGGCUCGCAGCGGUUCUGACGUGCAAAUCGAUCGUCAAAUUUGGGUAUAGGGGCGAAAGACUAAUCGAACCAUCUAGUAGCUGGUCUGC